Molecule: long non-coding RNA, 308 nt
Organism: Haliotis rubra (blacklip abalone)
Lineage: Eukaryota; Metazoa; Mollusca; Gastropoda; Lepetellida; Haliotidae
Exons: 2
Source: RefSeq, a predicted model, not a curated record
UGCUGGAAUAUUGCUAAAAGUGGCAUAAAACCAAACUCACUGCGUACCGAACUCACUCACUCACUCAACUGUCAUAAUGGAAUGGUGACAUCAUAUCCUGCAUUAUCGAGGAUGGUGGGAAAUAACCAAGUAUUGUGUGAUAUCCAUGUUAGCCUUGAAGUGAUGUGUAUAUGUAUAUGUAUAUAUCAACCCGUUUGUUACACUGUGUAUACUUACACCAUUGUUGUGCUGCUACACAUUGUGUAUAUCUGAUGAUACCUGUAAACUGUGUGCUCUUCUACUGUUAUUUAUUAAACUGGUAUUGCUGA